GGAGAGGUGCCGGAGUGGUCGAACGGGGCAGUCUCGAAAACUGUUGUGCUCUUACGGGUACCGUGGGUUCGAAUCCCACCCUCUCCGCCA
RNAcentral lists this transfer RNA (90 nucleotides) under Erythrobacter sp. Its description in RNAcentral is "tRNA-Ser". It matches the Rfam family "tRNA". From Rfam's summary of the family: Transfer RNA (tRNA) molecules are approximately 80 nucleotides in length. Lineage: Bacteria; Pseudomonadati; Pseudomonadota; Alphaproteobacteria; Sphingomonadales; Erythrobacteraceae. The record is from RNAcentral. RNAcentral also lists the same sequence under 3 other names.